UAAUUCAUUUACCCAGCAACAAUCAUUACAACAGCCACCAAGAGUUUGGAGCAAUCAAACUUCAUCUGAAGCACUAAUUCGGGAAGUCCUAACAAAGCAAGAAAUGAUCCUUGAGCAACAGACAUUUAUUUUGCGUCUUCUUCAAGCACGGCAAAACACCCAGGAUUGUGAAAUUGAAGAAGGGCUUCUGCCAGUGCAUGAUAUAGAAGCGCUACAAAACGUAGAAGUACAACUUAGUAAUGGAGAAUUCAAAGAGAGAUUGAUGAAUCACUUAAGUCUUAUUGGAGGGUGUUGCAUAAAGGAUGCAGUCUGGCGGCUAAUGAGGAAAACAAUUUCCAAUAGCCUUGCUAGAAACAUGAAUUGGAAGGGGUUGAAUGGGAAGACAUCAUUUGCAGCACUGCGAUUGAAGGAUGUGAUGAUUGGUAAAUGUAUAUGCAAACAUAUCAUAUGGGUCAUUAGCUGGACAAGGUGGUCGUUGAGAAGGAUAAAAUAUAUGGAACACCAGAACACUCAAAUAAACAAAUAAAUGUAAC
Long non-coding RNA from Brienomyrus brachyistius, 533 nucleotides. RefSeq lists it as uncharacterized. The record is from RefSeq and is a predicted model, not a curated record. The transcript has 3 exons. Lineage: Eukaryota; Metazoa; Chordata; Actinopteri; Osteoglossiformes; Mormyridae.